This 1166-nucleotide ribosomal RNA is filed under the name Salmonella enterica subsp. enterica serovar Typhimurium. RNAcentral describes it as "partial 23S ribosomal RNA". It matches the Rfam family "Bacterial large subunit ribosomal RNA", at positions 1 to 1199 of the family's 2925-position model. RNAcentral also lists the same sequence under 1 other name. Lineage: Bacteria; Pseudomonadati; Pseudomonadota; Gammaproteobacteria; Enterobacterales; Enterobacteriaceae. The record is from RNAcentral.
GGGUUGUGAGGUUAAGCGACUAAGCGUACACGGUGGAUGCCCUGGCAGUCAGAGGCGAUGAAGGACGUGCUAAUCUGCGAUAAGCGCCGGUAAGGUGAUAUGAACCGUUAUAACCGGCGAUUUCCGAAUGGGGAAACCCAGUGUGACUCGUCACACUAUCAUUAACUGAAUCCAUAGGUUAAUGAGGCGAACCGGGGGAACUGAAACAUCUAAGUACCCCGAGGAAAAGAAAUCAACCGAGAUUCCCCCAGUAGCGGCGAGCGAACGGGGAGGAGCCCAGAGCCUGAAUCAGCAUGUGUGUUAGUGGAAGCGUCUGGAAAGGCGCGCGAUACAGGGUGACAGCCCCGUACACAAAAGCGCAUGUGCUGUGAGCUCGAUGAGUAGGGCGGGACACGUGGUAUCCUGUCUGAAUAUGGGGGGACCAUCCUCCAAGGCUAAAUACUCCUGACUGACCGAUAGUGAACCAGUACCGUGAGGGAAAGGCGAAAAGAACCCCGGCGAGGGGAGUGAAAAAGAACCUGAAACCGUGUACGUACAAGCAGUGGGAGCACCCUUUGGGGUGUGACUGCGUACCUUUUGUAUAAUGGGUCAGCGACUUAUAUUCUGUAGCAAGGUUAACCGAAUAGGGGAGCCGGAGGGAAACCGAGUCUUAAUUGGGCGUUAAGUUGCAGGGUAUAGACCCGAAACCCGGUGAUCUAGCCAUGGGCAGGUUGAAGGUUGGGUAACACUAACUGGAGGACCGAACCGACUAAUGUUGAAAAAUUAGCGGAUGACCUGUGGCUGGGGGUGAAAGGCCAAUCAAACCGGGAGAUAGCUGGUUCUCCCCGAAAGCUAUUUAGGUAGCGCCUCGUGAAUUCAUCUCCGGGGGUAGAGCACUGUUUCGGCUAGGGGGCCAUCCCGGCUUACCAACCCGAUGCAAACUGCGAAUACCGGAGAAUGUUAUCACGGGAGACACACGGCGGGUGCUAACGUCCGUCGUGAAGAGGGAAACAACCCAGACCGCCAGCUAAGGUCCCAAAGUCAUGGUUAAGUGGGAAACGAUGUGGGAAGGCCCAGACAGCCAGGAUGUUGGCUUAGAAGCAGCCAUCAUUUAAAGAAAGCGUAAUAGCUCACUGGUCGAGUCGGCCUGCGCGGAAGAUGUAACGGGGCUAAACCAUGCACCGAAG